Molecule: long non-coding RNA, 417 nt
Filed under: Chinchilla lanigera (long-tailed chinchilla)
Lineage: Eukaryota; Metazoa; Chordata; Mammalia; Rodentia; Chinchillidae
Description: lncRNA (ENSCLAG00000022298.1)
Source: RNAcentral
AAGGAGGGCAAUUUUCCUCCUCUGCUUCUAGAACAAGAUUUUUGUGUGACUUUGACUGACGUCUGAUAGAGAAAGGCAUUGAGCGAAGAAAUCAACUCCAGAGAUAGGACAAGUAUGUGAGGCAAAACCCCCUCUCUGAAGAGGGCAUGGGAACAAACAACAAGACCCAGCUGCCAAGGCAAACAGUUCAACCGAGCUGGCAGCAAACGGAGCUGCACCCUGGGAUCCAGGCCAGCAGGUGGGCAGGCUUGGAACCUGGCUUGGAAACUGCAGGUGGGAUUACAGAAGCCUGUUUCCCCAGUUACCGAGCAUCUGGAGUGAAAGUUGCAUUGCCACACCAGUGUUUCAGAGAGCAAAAGUGGAACCUGACAUGAUGCAACUGAAACAAUGAUGUGACAGUACUUGACAGAAAGAGGA